UUAAGUGACUAAGCGUACACGGUGGAUGCCUGGGCAGUCAGAGGCGAUGAAGGACGUACUAACUUGCGAUAAGCGCAGAUAAGGCAGUAAGAGCCGUUUGAGUCUGCGAUUUCCGAAUGGGGAAACCCAACUGCAUAAGCAGUUACUGUUAACUGAAUACAUAGGUUAACAGAGCAAACCGGGGGAACUGAAACAUCUAAGUACCCCGAGGAGAAGAAAUCAACCGAGAUUCCGGUAGUAGCGGCGAGCGAACCUGGAUUAGCCCUUAAGCACUCGGUGAAGUAGGUGAACAAGCUGGAAAGCUUGGCGAUACAGGGUGAUAGCCCCGUAACCGACGCUUCAUCGAGCGUGAAAUCGAGUAGGGCGGGACACGUGAUAUCCUGUCUGAAUAUGGGGGGACCAUCCUCCAAGGCUAAAUACUCCUGACUGACCGAUAGUGAACCAGUACCGUGAGGGAAAGGCGAAAAGAACCCCUGUGAGGGGAGUGAAAUAGAACCUGAAACCGUGUACGUACAAGCAGUAGGAGCACCUUCGUGGUGUGACUGCGUACCUUUUGUAUAAUGGGUCAGCGACUUAUAUUCAGUGGCAAGGUUAACCGUAUAGGGGAGCCGUAGCGAAAGCGAGUCUUAACUGGGCGCUCAGUCUCUGGAUAUAGACCCGAAACCGGGUGAUCUAGCCAUGGGCAGGUUGAAGGUUGAGUAACAUCAACUGGAGGACCGAACCGACUAAUGUUGAAAAAUUAGCGGAUGACUUGUGGCUAGGGGUGAAAGGCCAAUCAAACUCGGAGAUAGCUGGUUCUCCCCGAAAGCUAUUUAGGUAGCGCCUCGGACGAAUACUACUGGGGGUAGAGCACUGUUAAGGCUAGGGGGUCAUCCCGACUUACCAACCCUUUGCAAACUCCGAAUACCAGUAAGUACUAUCCGGGAGACACACGGCGGGUGCUAACGUCCGUCGUGGAGAGGGAAACAACCCAGACCGCCAGCUAAGGUCCCAAAGUAUUGCUAAGUGGGAAACGAUGUGGGAAGGCUCAGACAGCUAGGAUGUUGGCUUAGAAGCAGCCAUCAUUUAAAGAAAGCGUAAUAGCUCACUAGUCGAGUCGGCCUGCGCGGAAGAUGUAACGGGGCUAAGCAAUACACCGAAGCUGCGGCAAUGUCUUUUAGACAUUGGGUAGGGGAGCGUUCUGUAAGCCGUUGAAGGUGAAUCGUAAGGUUUGCUGGAGGUAUCAGAAGUGCGAAUGCUGACAUGAGUAACGACAAAGGGGGUGAAAAACCUCCUCGCCGGAAGACCAAGGGUUCCUGUCCAACGUUAAUCGGGGCAGGGUGAGUCGACCCCUAAGGUGAGGCCGAAAGGCGUAAUCGAUGGGAAACGGGUUAAUAUUCCCGUACUUCUGACUAUUGCGAUGGGGGGACGGAGAAGGCUAGGUGGGCCAGGCGACGGUUGUCCUGGUUCAAGUGCGUAGGCUUGAGAGUUAGGUAAAUCCGGCUCUCUUUAAGGCUGAGACACGACGUCGAGCUACUACGGUAGUGAAGUCAUUGAUGCCAUGCUUCCAGGAAAAGCCUCUAAGCUUCAGAUAGUCAGGAAUCGUACCCCAAACCGACACAGGUGGUCGGGUAGAGAAUACCAAGGCGCUUGAGAGAACUCGGGUGAAGGAACUAGGCAAAAUGGUACCGUAACUUCGGGAGAAGGUACGCUCUUGAUGGUGAAGUCCCUCGCGGAUGGAGCUGACGAGAGUCGCAGAUACCAGGUGGCUGCAACUGUUUAUUAAAAACACAGCACUGUGCAAAAUCGCAAGAUGACGUAUACGGUGUGACGCCUGCCCGGUGCCGGAAGGUUAAUUGAUGGGGUUAGCGCAAGCGAAGCUCUUGAUCGAAGCCCCGGUAAACGGCGGCCGUAACUAUAACGGUCCUAAGGUAGCGAAAUUCCUUGUCGGGUAAGUUCCGACCUGCACGAAUGGCGUAAUGAUGGCCACGCUGUCUCCACCCGAGACUCAGUGAAAUUGAAAUCGCUGUGAAGAUGCAGUGUACCCGCGGCUAGACGGAAAGACCCCGUGAACCUUUACUACAGCUUGGCACUGAACAUUGAACCUACAUGUGUAGGAUAGGUGGGAGGCUAUGAAGACGUGACGCCAGUUGCGUUGGAGCCGUCCUUGAAAUACCACCCUUGUAUGUUUGAUGUUCUAACUUAGACCCAUUAUCUGGGUUGAGGACAGUGCCUGGUGGGUAGUUUGACUGGGGCGGUCUCCUCCCAAAGAGUAACGGAGGAGCACGAAGGUGGGCUAAUCACGGUUGGACAUCGUGAGGUUAGUGCAAUGGCAUAAGCCCGCUUAACUGCGAGAAUGACGGUUCGAGCAGGUGCGAAAGCAGGUCAUAGUGAUCCGGUGGUUCUGUAUGGAAGGGCCAUCGCUCAACGGAUAAAAGGUACUCCGGGGAUAACAGGCUGAUACCGCCCAAGAGUUCAUAUCGACGGCGGUGUUUGGCACCUCGAUGUCGGCUCAUCACAUCCUGGGGCUGAAGUCGGUCCCAAGGGUAUGGCUGUUCGCCAUUUAAAGUGGUACGCGAGCUGGGUUUAGAACGUCGUGAGA
RNAcentral lists this ribosomal RNA (2581 nucleotides) under Vibrio cholerae. Its description in RNAcentral is "partial 23S ribosomal RNA". It matches the Rfam family "Bacterial large subunit ribosomal RNA", at positions 1 to 2626 of the family's 2925-position model. Lineage: Bacteria; Pseudomonadati; Pseudomonadota; Gammaproteobacteria; Vibrionales; Vibrionaceae. The record is from RNAcentral.